AACGAACGCUGGCGGCAGGCUUAACACGUGCAAGUCGAGCGCCCCGCAAGGGGAGCGGCAGACGGGUGAGUAACGCGUGGGAACGUACCUUUUGGUUCGGAACAACUCCGGGAAACUGGAGCUAAUACCGGAUAAGCCCUAACGGGGAAAGAUUUAUCGCCGAAAGAUCGGCCCGCGUCUGAUUAGCUAGUUGGUGAGGUAACGGCUCACCAAGGCGACGAUCAGUAGCUGGUCUGAGAGGAUGAUCAGCCACACUGGGAGUGAGACACGGCCCAGACUCCUACGGGAGGCAGCAGUGGGGAAUAUUGGACAAUGGGCGCAAGCCUGAUCCAGCCAUGCCGCGUGAGUGAUGAAGGCCUUAGGGUUGUAAAGCUCUUUUGUCCGGGAAGAUAAUGACUGUACCGGAAGAAUAAGCCCCGGCUAACUUCGUG
This 431-nucleotide ribosomal RNA is filed under the name uncultured bacterium. RNAcentral's name for it is "partial 16S ribosomal RNA". It matches the Rfam family "Bacterial small subunit ribosomal RNA", at positions 29 to 507 of the family's 1533-position model. The record is from RNAcentral.